This 228-nucleotide ribosomal RNA is filed under the name Bacillus cytotoxicus. RNAcentral's name for it is "partial 16S ribosomal RNA". It matches the Rfam family "Bacterial small subunit ribosomal RNA", at positions 67 to 287 of the family's 1533-position model. Lineage: Bacteria; Bacillati; Bacillota; Bacilli; Caryophanales; Bacillaceae. The record is from RNAcentral.
CGGAUUAAGAGCUUGCUCUUAAGAAGUUAGCGGCGGACGGGUGAGUAACACGUGGGUAACCUGCCCAUAAGACUGGGAUAACUCCGGGAAACCGGGGCUAAUACCGGAUAAUAUCUUGCACCGCAUGGUGCAAGAUUGAAAGGUGGCUUCGGCUGUCACUUAUGGAUGGACCCGCGUCGCAUUAGCUAGUUGGUGAGGUAACGGCUCACCAAGGCAACGAUGCGUAGC